UUUAAUUACCAUUCAUAGAAAGCAGGUGAUUGCCAAUCAGUUUUCGAUAUUUCAAGCAAAAAUUUUCUCUACUUGAAAUUUUGGAUAAAGUUAUGCGAGUCUUGUUGAAGUGGAUGUUUCCAAAUGCAUCUCAGGAUUUUUUAGGUUCACACAAUGCAGAUGAUCAUUUCUGAGAACUGGUGAAGUUUGAUUUUAUAGAAAAGUGAUUAAUUGCAGAUAGUCUUGAUGUGUUGGCAUGCCACCAAAGCUCGGUUGCUACCAGUACAGAAACCGCAUGCAUGUUGGCCUAAUUGAUGUGAAAUAAACAUGUUACAGAAGAUGUUAAACAACAGCGAAAAAUGCAGACACACACCUUCUUUAAACAGAGGAAUGACAGGUGGAUACGGGACAUUUUAUCUGCUGAUGGUCCUCUGUUAAUUACAACAUAAGUUGCAAUUUUAUUAUUUAUGUCACCAUCAUCUAUGUCAUCACGACCUGUGUCAAAAGGCAAGAUCAAAAAAAAUGUUUUAAAAAUUGCAACCUGAAUUCUGCAUCUCACUUUUCCUUGGCUGGCAGAAAUUUUUUGUUUUAAAUUUUCUUUAGUUGCAAUAUUUUCCAACUGGCAUUUAGUAUCAUUGUUUAACAUUGCUGUUAAGGGGCCAAACCACUCGUUUUCCAGCUGCGAACCUUAAAAUGAUGAUUUCCUAUAAAUCCCCUGGGUUGCUCAUCGCAAUGUCUCGUUUAAACAUUACCUAUCACAUGUAGGGGAGACCGGGGAUGGUUCGGACGUUUUUUUGAAAAUUGCUAAUAAUUUUUUUUGUAUGCGUCACAUGAAUUUAAAUGUUAGUUUGUUGUAAAGGGUGAUCCUUUGCCGAAAAAGGGUAGGAGAGUCGCUUGUCAAAGCAAACUAGAAAUGCAUUUAAAAAGUCAAAUUCCUAAGGCUCUCAAGUGUCCGAUGUUGCCCCGGCGUACAUGACCGGGGUCACCUCGAACAGUAUACGUUUUUUUGUUUUAUUCAACACCGCUGGUAAAAACAACAAACGAAAUAACGAAAUAAUAACGAAUCAUCUAAUAUACAAAUCGACUAGGCUAUAGCUGAUACUUUAGCGUACAUUAAAACAAGAAAGGUUGAUAGGGAAUCUUAGGGCACUCAUUUGCCUUUUGGAUCCCCCGACUGAUACGGGAUUUGGCAGAACCAAGGCAAUCCGGUUACUUUCAACGGCGUGGAUGUCUUCUACUAGCGGCUCAACAAAUGAAUUCACUGUUUUGGGGUUCUUUCUGUAAAAUUUUAUGUCGAGAUCUUUUUCAUUUUCCUCUUCAUCGCAGUCUUCAAAGUCAACCACUUUACCUACAUAAAAGACUGAUUUCUUGCCAUGCGCAUCAUAUUUUACAAGUACGAAGUCUCCCACAUCAGCUUUUUCUUUUAGUGUGGGUGUGGAAAUAUCUUCCUCACUACACACGUCAUCCGUUGAUAGAGAUUUUUUAAGGGUGAAAGAUUCAUCACUGGUAGAAAUUUUCUCCAAAAGUUUUCGUUUUGCUCGCCGCGAUGUUUUCUUGUUUAGAACCGUGCCUUUUUUUAUUGCCUUUGUUUUUCCUUCUCUUCUAAUAGAUUUUUUUCAGGCGUGUCGGUAGCGAUAAAUGAUCGGCCU
Non-coding RNA from Ciona intestinalis (vase tunicate), 1628 nucleotides. The record is from RefSeq and is a predicted model, not a curated record. NCBI's taxonomy places the organism in Eukaryota, Metazoa, Chordata, Ascidiacea, Phlebobranchia, Cionidae.